RNAcentral lists this ribosomal RNA (328 nucleotides) under uncultured Tomentellopsis. RNAcentral describes it as "eukaryotic LSU rRNA". Lineage: Eukaryota; Fungi; Basidiomycota; Agaricomycetes; Thelephorales; Thelephoraceae. The record is from RNAcentral.
CGCACCUUGCGCUCCUUGGUAUUCCGAGGAGCAUGCCUGUUUGAGUGUCAUGAAAUUCUCAACUGCCCCGAGCUCUUGCAGCCCGCGGGUGAACGUUGGAUUUGGAGGUCUCUGCUGGCGCAUGUGUGGUGGCUCCGUUGCCCCCGCCGUGCUUGUCGGCUCCUACUUGAAUGCAUGAGCUUUCCAAUCCUUUGGCAGAGUAUCGUCGAUGUGAUAAUUAUCUACGUCGUCCGAGAAAGCCGGCAAGGGGAAAUCUUUGAUCACGUCGGGGCAACCCGCGUCUGACAAAUUCGACCUCAAAUCAGGUAGGACUACCCGCUGAACUUAA